UGCCAAAUUUUGCUCUGGAAUCACAGGGUGCCAACAUCCUUCACCAUCUUACCUCACAAACAUAUCACAACCAGCCACCACUUGUGACAUUUUGGGGAAUACCUUUGUGGUAUCCAUCUGCAAACCCCCGUACUAUCAUCCAGGCACAAUCCUCACCUUUGACUCCCGGUCAUUGUUGGGCCUUUGCAGGAAGACAGGGAC
Molecule: long non-coding RNA, 201 nt
Organism: Scomber japonicus (chub mackerel)
Lineage: Eukaryota; Metazoa; Chordata; Actinopteri; Scombriformes; Scombridae
Exons: 3
Source: RefSeq, a predicted model, not a curated record